GUCGAUCAAUCGUUCACCAGCCCUAGUCUGCGGUUUCGUCUCCAUCUCUUCCUCUCGCCGUCGGUUACUCGCCGGGAAUUAUCCGGUUAGUCGAAUCAGCAUCGCGAUCUCGGCAACUUAGCCAACGGACAUGGCGGCUGCAGCUACAACGAGCGUUGUGCCGCCGAAUCGUCGGCGGACGGUUAACGCGCCGGAAGACAAGUUGGAAUUCGAGACGACGGAGGGGGUUGAGCCGAUCUUGAGUUUCGAUCAGAUGGGCAUCAAGGAUGACCUUCUCCGUGGAAUAUAUGCAUACGGUUUUGAAAAACCCUCGGCCAUUCAGCAGAGAGCUGUGAGACCGAUUAUUGAGGGUCGAGAUGUUAUAGCUCAGGCCCAAUCUGGAACUGGCAAGACCUCCAUGAUUGCCCUUACCGUU
Molecule: unclassified non-coding RNA, 415 nt
Filed under: Hevea brasiliensis (rubber tree)
Lineage: Eukaryota; Viridiplantae; Streptophyta; Magnoliopsida; Malpighiales; Euphorbiaceae
Source: RNAcentral